This 495-nucleotide ribosomal RNA is filed under the name uncultured bacterium. RNAcentral's name for it is "partial 16S ribosomal RNA". It matches the Rfam family "Bacterial small subunit ribosomal RNA", at positions 28 to 505 of the family's 1533-position model. The record is from RNAcentral.
GAUGAACGCUGGCGGCGUGCCUAAUACAUGCAAGUCGAGCGAACAGACGAGGAGCUUGCUCCUCUGACGUUAGCGGCGGACGGGUGAGUAACACGUGGAUAACCUACCUAUAAGACUGGGAUAACUUCGGGAAACCGGAGCUAAUACCGGAUAAUAUAUUGAACCGCAUGGUUCAAUAGUGAAAGACGGUUUUGCUGUCACUUAUAGAUGGAUCCGCGCCGCAUUAGCUAGUUGGUAAGGUAACGGCUUACCAAGGCAACGAUGCGUAGCCGACCUGAGAGGGUGAUCGGCCACACUGGAACUGAGACACGGUCCAGACUCCUACGGGAGGCAGCAGUAGGGAAUCUUCCGCAAUGGGCGAAAGCCUGACGGAGCACCGCCGCGUGAGUGAGGAAGGUCUUCGGAUCGUAAAACUCUGUUAUUAGGGAAGAACAAAUGUGUAAGUAACUAUGCACGUCUUGACGGUACCUAAUCAGAAAGCCACGGCUAACUACG